Molecule: ribosomal RNA, 383 nt
Filed under: uncultured eukaryote
Lineage: Eukaryota
Description: partial 18S ribosomal RNA
Rfam family: Eukaryotic small subunit ribosomal RNA
Source: RNAcentral
CAAUAGCGUAUAUUAAAGUUGUUGCAGUUAAAAAGCUCGUAGUCUGAACCUUGGCUGGUGUUGAGCGUCCGUGACUUCUGUUACGCGCAUGCGAUACUCCGGCCAUGUACUUCGGAGGAGUGCUUGUGCUUUUCAUUAAGUGCGGGUACAAUUCCGAUAGUUUACUUUGAGAAAAAUAGAGUGUUCAAAGCAGGCGUUUGCCUUGAAUACAUUAGCAUGGGAUAAUGAAAUAGGACAUUGGUUCUAUUUUGAUGGUUUAAGGACCGAUGUAAUGAUUAAUAGGGACAGUUGGGGACAUUCAUAUUCCAUGGCUAGAGGUGAAAUUCUUGGAUUCAUGGAAGAUGAACUACUGCGAAAGCAUUUGUCAAAGAUGUUUUCAUUGA